RNAcentral lists this small nuclear RNA (117 nucleotides) under Nicotiana attenuata. Its description in RNAcentral is "snRNA U5". It matches the Rfam family "U5 spliceosomal RNA". From Rfam's summary of the family: U5 RNA is a component of both types of known spliceosome. The record is from Rfam by way of RNAcentral. Lineage: Eukaryota; Viridiplantae; Streptophyta; Magnoliopsida; Solanales; Solanaceae.
AGCCCCGCAGUGAGCACAAAGCAAACUAUUCUUUCGCCUUUUAUUAAAGAAUACCGUAUGCGCGCUGCAUUCAGUGACAUAUGCCUAUUUUUGGAGGGGUUCUCUUCUUUGAGUUCC